UUCUACAUUAGCACGUGAGAAAAUGGGAGCCACAGAUUCCCAAGUCCUCCAGCCAUUUGCUUUCCCACUCCUUGGAUUAACGAAAACUUAGUCAAUAAGAAAUAAAGUCUGGAAGCAUUAUCAUAACUAGUUUAUGCCUUCACCAACUGAAUAUCUAUUGAAAAACAUAAAUGGCAUAGCAACUGACUAAUAUUGCAGAACAAACCAGAAGAUUCUUUGAUCUCUCCUUU
RNAcentral lists this long non-coding RNA (230 nucleotides) under Manihot esculenta (cassava). Its description in RNAcentral is "long non-coding RNA (MESC_LNC008061)". The record is from RNAcentral. Lineage: Eukaryota; Viridiplantae; Streptophyta; Magnoliopsida; Malpighiales; Euphorbiaceae.